Molecule: long non-coding RNA, 201 nt
Organism: Alligator sinensis (Chinese alligator)
Lineage: Eukaryota; Metazoa; Chordata; Crocodylia; Alligatoridae
Exons: 3
Source: RefSeq, a predicted model, not a curated record
AAAUGAUCUGAUACCUCUUAUCACGGAGCACUGAAAAAUAAAGAGUAUUCACAGUCUACCUUGGAAAAGGAGAAGUUUACAACAUGAUCAACAUGAACAUUUAAAGCUAGAAGAGACCAUUUUGACUACCAUUUACCCAAGAAUUUAUUGACUGAGCAGAGCCAGCACAGGAGGAACAGUAUUCUGAAGGUGGUAUAGACC